RNAcentral lists this ribosomal RNA (253 nucleotides) under uncultured bacterium. Its description in RNAcentral is "partial 16S ribosomal RNA". It matches the Rfam family "Bacterial small subunit ribosomal RNA", at positions 524 to 776 of the family's 1533-position model. The record is from RNAcentral.
UACGUAGGGGGCAAGCGUUGUUCGGAAUUAUUGGGCGUAAAGGGCGCGUAGGCGGCUAGAUGUGUCAAAGGUGAAAUCCCUCGGCUCAACUGAGGAACUGCCUUUGAAACUGUCUGGCUUGAGGCCGGGAGAGGGUAGCGGAAUUCCCAGUGUAGCGGUGAAAUGCGUAGAUAUUGGGAGGAACACCAGUGGCGAAGGCGGGUCUCUGGGCCGAUACUGACGCUGAGGAGCGAAAGCGUGGGGAGCGAACAGG